Molecule: ribosomal RNA, 495 nt
Filed under: uncultured bacterium
Lineage: Bacteria
Description: partial 16S ribosomal RNA
Rfam family: Bacterial small subunit ribosomal RNA
Source: RNAcentral
GACGAACGCUGGCGGCGUGCCUAAUACAUGCAAGUAGAACGCUGAAGGAGGAGCUUGCUCUUCUGGAUGAGUUGCGAACGGGUGAGUAACGCGUAGGUAACCUGCCUGGUAGCGGGGGAUAACUAUUGGAAACGAUAGCUAAUACCGCAUAACAGUAGAUGUUGCAUGACAUUUGCUUAAAAGGUGCAAUUGCACCACUACCAGAUGGACCUGCGUUGUAUUAGCUAGUUGGUGGGGUAACGGCUCACCAAGGCGACGAUACAUAGCCGACCUGAGAGGGUGAUCGGCCACACUGGGACUGAGACACGGCCCAGACUCCUACGGGAGGCAGCAGUAGGGAAUCUUCGGCAAUGGACGGAAGUCUGACCGAGCAACGCCGCGUGAGUGAAGAAGGUUUUCGGAUCGUAAAGCUCUGUUGUAAGAGAUGAACGAGUGUGAGAGUGGAAAGUUCACACUGUGACGGUAUCUUACCAGAAAGGGACGGCUAACUACGUG